UACGUAGGGAGCAAGCGUUGUCCGGAUUUACUGGGUGUAAAGGGUGCGUAGGCGGCUUUGCAAGUCAGAGGUGAAAUCCAUGGGCUUAACCCAUGAACUGCUUUUGAAACUGCAAGGCUUGAGUGAAGUAGAGGCAGGCGGAAUUCCCGGUGUAGCGGUGAAAUGCGUAGAGAUCGGGAGGAACACCAGUGGCGAAGGCGGCCUGCUGGGCUUUAACUGACGCUGAGGCACGAAAGCAUGGGUAGCAAACAGG
This 253-nucleotide ribosomal RNA is filed under the name uncultured bacterium. Its description in RNAcentral is "partial 16S ribosomal RNA". It matches the Rfam family "Bacterial small subunit ribosomal RNA", at positions 524 to 776 of the family's 1533-position model. The record is from RNAcentral.